UAUUUUGACUAUACAAAGGUAUUGUAAUAAGAUUUUAAUUGAAUGCUAAAAGAAUGGAAAUUUAAAAAAAAACUUUUUUAAAAAUAAAAAUUGAAUUUUUUUUAAUUUGUGCAAAAACAAUUAUACUUAUUAAAGACAAGAAGACCCUAAGAAUUUAAGAUUUUACAAUUAAAAAGUUUUUUUUUUAAAAUCUUGAUUGGGGCGAUCAAAAAAUAUUAAUAACUUUUUAAAAUUUAAAUUGAUCUAUUAUUAAUAAACUAAUGAAUUAAAUA
Molecule: ribosomal RNA, 272 nt
Filed under: Hyalomma marginatum
Lineage: Eukaryota; Metazoa; Arthropoda; Arachnida; Ixodida; Ixodidae
Description: partial large subunit ribosomal RNA
Source: RNAcentral